UACGUAGGGGGCAAGCGUUGUCCGGAGUUACUGGGCGUAAAGCGCACGCAGGCGGUCGAUUAAGUUUGGAGUGACAGUUGGUGGCUUAACUGCCAAAGUGCUUCGAAAACUGAUCGACUUGAGGGCUUCAGAGGGACACGGAAUUCCGGGUGGAAUGGUGAAAUGCGUAGAGAUCCGGAGGAACACCAAAGGCGAAGGCAGUGUCCUGGGGAGUACCUGACGCUCAGGUGCGAAAGCCAGGGGAGCGAACGGG
RNAcentral lists this ribosomal RNA (253 nucleotides) under uncultured bacterium. RNAcentral's name for it is "partial 16S ribosomal RNA". It matches the Rfam family "Bacterial small subunit ribosomal RNA", at positions 524 to 776 of the family's 1533-position model. The record is from RNAcentral.